CACGUAGUUAGCCGGGGCUUCUUAGUCAGGUACCGUCCGUUUUCUUCCCUGCCGAUAGAAGUUUACAUACCGAGAUACUUCUUCCUUCACGCGGCGUCGCUGCAUCAGGGUUUCCCCCAUUGUGCAAUAUUCCCCACUGCUGCCUCCCGCAGGAGUCUGGGCCGUGUCUCAGUCCCAGUGUGGCCGUCCGCCCUCUCAGGCCGGCUACCGAUCGUCGGUUUGGUGGGCCGUCACCCCGCCAACUGCCUAAUCGGACGCGGACUCAUCGCGCACCGCAAAUUGCUUUCCGCGCUGCGUCAUGCGACGCUGCGCGCAUAUGCGGCAUUAGCAGCCGUUUCCGGCUGUUAUUCCCCUGUGCGCGGCAGAUUGUCCACGCGUUACUCACCCGUCCGCCACUAAGCUGCGCGAAUGCUCCCACCGAAAUGUUCGCUCUCACGCGCUCCGUUCGACUUGCAUGUGUUAGGCACGCCGCCAGCGUUCAU
This 482-nucleotide ribosomal RNA is filed under the name uncultured Lachnospiraceae bacterium. Its description in RNAcentral is "partial 16S ribosomal RNA". Lineage: Bacteria; Bacillati; Bacillota; Clostridia; Lachnospirales; Lachnospiraceae. The record is from RNAcentral.